Long non-coding RNA from Musca domestica (house fly), 1029 nucleotides. RefSeq lists it as uncharacterized. Lineage: Eukaryota; Metazoa; Arthropoda; Insecta; Diptera; Muscidae. The transcript has 2 exons. The record is from RefSeq and is a predicted model, not a curated record.
UAUACAAUGUCAGCUUUAUUGACAAUUUAAUUAUUAUUUAAAUUAAAUUGUUUGGUUUACAACUGUAAACAAUCAAUUUUCAAUAUUUUAGAAAUCUUACAAAGAAUUACGUCGUCUAUAGCACCCUUAAUAUUGCUGUGUUUCGAAAACUAUCGAUUACACUGUUUACCAAAUGGAGUAACCGAAUACAAGUAGUCAAUUACUCACGAAGUGUUUGGCACUAGUAGAAACUAAUCAAAACAAAGAAAAUUAAGUGAAAAAAGGCAAAAUUAAACAAAUAAAUUAAAAAAUAUAUGUAAAUUUGCCGAAUUGUAAUAUUUGUUUACAAUUAGUUUCACUCGCGAAUGUAUAAUAAAAUUUGUUUUCGCGGAUUAGUGUGGUGCUAUGAAUAUACAAUAACAACAAGUGAAAUAACUGACAAAGCAAAAGCGGAAUAAGAAAAGGCAAACUUAAUUUAUAUGUAAUAAUUAAGUUUGUGUUAUCUUGCCGCAAAAUCAAGCCAAAACGAUUCACAAAAUAUAUAUAAAUUGAAAUAUCAAGCGUAUAUGGAUAAUUUGUGUUAGGAUUCACACAAAUUAUGUCCAACGCUGUUACCUGUGAAUCAGAAUCACUCUCCUGAUUGUUGUGUUUGCUCCUGCAUAGACGGCAAUCGCAGCGACGGGGCAUCUGGAUUUGAUGACAGCAGCAGGUUUUUUGAUGGGGAGUGUUUAUUUUAUUUAUUUAAUUUAAUUGUUUUUUAAUAUUGUCUUCUUCUUCUUCCUUGUAGUAUUUUAACAAGGCUGUUUUGCACAAAAUUAACAAAACACACCGACACUUUAUACUCCCGGGUUUCGGCACCAAAAUAUUCACCUUUAUUUUAAGGGAAUUAUUAUAAUUUUUAAUUAUAAAAUUAAUUUAUUUAUAAUUUUUAAAUAUUGUUAUUUUUUAUGGACUGCGAGAAGAAAGACGCGUAUCGUUGGCGGUAUAAUUCACAACAAUGACUUUAUUAUUAUUCUUUCUCAUUAUCCUAUUCUUCUACAUCUAACUUAA